CGCACGGGUGCGUAACGCGUAUAGAACCUACCUUUUACAGAGGAAUAGCCUUUAGAAAUGAAGAUUAAUGCCUCAUGGUAUUGUAGACUGGCAUCAGUUUAUAAUUAAAGAUUUAUCGGUAAAAGAUGGCUAUGCGUCCUAUUAGUUAGUUGGUAAGGUAACGGCUUACCAAGACAGCGAUAGGUAGGGGUCCUGAGAGGGAGAUCCCCCACACUGGUACUGAGACACGGACCAGACUCCUACGGGAGGCAGCAGUGAGGAAUAUUGGACAAUGGAGGAGACUCUGAUCCAGCCAUGCCGCGUGUAGGAAGAAUGCCCUAUGGGUUGUAAAC
Molecule: ribosomal RNA, 332 nt
Filed under: uncultured Polaribacter sp.
Lineage: Bacteria; Pseudomonadati; Bacteroidota; Flavobacteriia; Flavobacteriales; Flavobacteriaceae
Description: bacterial SSU rRNA
Rfam family: Bacterial small subunit ribosomal RNA
Source: RNAcentral